GGUCCAAACCGAGUGAGGGACCAUCGCUUGUUCCUGGGUGGCUGGUUGGGAAUGAAGCCCAGAGCAAGAGGCCGCCGAGGAAGUGCAGGGCACGUGCGUCCGCACCACCGCUCUUGGCUGGGAGGCUCUCCGGCUGGAGCAGCUCCCAUGUCCCCUGGCUACUUUUGCAGUGGGGGUAGGGCAGUGGACUGCUUUCUCGGGGCCACAGGGAGAGCCCCUCCCAGGUGGAGGGAGCAGGUGGCAGGAAGGCCCACGCCUUGGGCUCAGGGGCUGGGCUCUGUGCUGGCAGAGGCCCUCGUGUGUUCACGGGGACAGCACUGCGGCAGGUGGGGGGGUCCAGUGCUUCGUGAGGCACCCCAAGGAGGCAGUGGGCUUUGGGGAGACAGCUUUCGCACGCCCAGCUUUUGUAGUGAUGGGGCCAUUUAAGUCUGCAUGGAACCUUCGGAGCCUUUGCAGCCAGAGAAUUGAAUCCCAGAGCCCGGCUGCAGAGCGGGAACAAGACUACAGAGAAAUGUGGGUGUGGGGCAUGAAGCCAACCCCAUUCCAGGCAGCUGGGAUGAAGGGAAUCCUGGCUAACACAAGCGGAGACACCGCCUUGGGCACAGGCCGCCAGGUGCCUGCCAAACACAAGUGGGUCCCCAUCCGUUUGCCUGGGGCACGCGUGGAGUUACGUUAUUUCUAGGCUGGGCUCUCCUGUCACUGAUGUCCCCAGAGAAGCAGGUAAGCCCCAGGCCAGGGGAGGUGUAGACACAGCCGUUAAUCACCCUCUGGGUCUCUUCUUGUUGCCAUAAACCACCCAGAAGAUGCCCUGCUCUUCGGGGAAGCGAGGAAGGGCUGUCUUCAGGUUGCCUGUUCAGAGAAAAAGCAGCAGAUCCUGUGGAGGGUCCAUUCAGAAGUCAAGUUCCAUCCCUCUGCUCGUUGAACAAAGAAUGGGUGUUAAAAUGCCAAUUUCUUUGUUAGAUUUCCAGGCUCUGGAGAAAGCUGGACAUUGGGAGGAGGAAGGAGUGUUAAUUGUAUUAAAAUGGUUCAGAGACUAGCCAGCAGGGGAAGGGAGCCCUCGAGUGGCUCAGACCCCAUCCAACUCCAGUGAACAAAGCCACAGAGUCAGCUCUGCCCCAAACCCACCAUUGGGGUCGCGCCGACUAGGACUUCAUCUCAGGAAAAAGCAUAAACAUCGCCAGUCUCUGUUGAUUUAAAAGCAGCAAUUUGUGUUGACGCAGGUGCCUGUGUCUAGGAUAAUGCCCCCAGCUGGCCCCCUCCACCGUGCGCUCCCUGGGGACCACCUUUCAGGGUUGUGAGAGCACCCAGGAUGCUCCGCCUGCAGCCAGGGCUGAGAGCCAUGUGGUCACAGAACCAGGGCACUCUGACAGGCAUCAGGCUUUGCCAAUUAGCCCGGAGCAGCUCAGCUCCUGGGGGAUCUGCAGCUCCCCCAGAAUACACAGCACGCCCAGGCGGCCACAGUCACAGUGGCCACAGACUCAGGGCUACUGCGGGCUGGGCAGACCGCCCCAUCCGUGCAUUUCCUCAUCUCUCUCUCCCAAGCCCGGGGUAAGGACACUGUUCUUGCCAUUUCACAGACAAGGGAGCUGAGGCACAGGAGGGCUAAGUCUUGUGACUCAAGUGUCACAGCCAGCUCAUAGCGGAGCCGGGCUGGAGUCUCGCACUUGCUCUCGGGCCACCUGCUGGAGUCCCCCAGUUGUCCCCCUCGUACCACCUCAGGAGUGCAAGGGCCCAUCCCCGACUCCCUGGGGUCCACAAACCCAGCUGAGAUGCAGCUGAGUUCCCAGGUCUUGCAUGGCUUUGUUUCUUAGGCAUGUUUCCCAUCGGCCCAAGUCUGGCAGGGGACGCCACAAGGGCCCCCACCGUAUGCUCCUGGAAAGGGUUAGUGGGAGUGUGACACUGCAGGCAAGGGUGGGCAGAGCCCCCAGCCAAAUGACGAGGAAGGAAAGCCUUGGGGCUGUGAACGGUGACUGUCCUCCCAGCAGGGGCCCCAGGUGCACAGGGGCUCCUCAGACCCCCACCUGCCUGUGUGAGGAGCUCACGGACCACGAGCCUGUUCUUCCUUUGCUGAUGGAGGAGAGAACAGCUCUGAGAAUAAAGGAGUCUCGGCGGGGAGAAAAUAGAAAGCAACAAAAGCUUUCAAGGCGUAAGGUUUUCCCAAGGGGACGGGGCGGGAGGGCAGCUGCUCGCUGUGCUGAGUGACAGCCAGGCAGGAGAGCCAGCACACCAACACCUGCAGAGGUGGUUUCAGCAGGAAAACAACAGCUAGCCAGUCACUCCUCUGUCUCCCAUGGCCACAGCGGGCUGUGGCUGUACCCAGACGUUCGCCACCAGGGCUGGGCGGCCACGAAGUGGUCGUUCCUCGCAGGUUUGAUUGCACAGUCGGAGGCCCAGGCCCCCGACAUGCAUGGAUCUGGGACACAGUGUAACUUGUCCCUGCGAACAGAUCAGCGUUUCACCCACAAACAUCCACUUCUGUCAUGGUCAGUUAAAGCACUUUAAUGCUUUAAGGUUGGAGAAAAAAUACCUACCACCCAUGUUUUUAAUGUAAUAUAAUGCUUCUUCAAGCAGUAUUAAUGGAUAUAUUCCAAUGAUGCUAACUGUUUUUGGUAAUGUAAUCUUGGGAAAAUGUGUUAUUUUUUUAGCUGUGUUUUGGUGGGAAUUUUUGUCUUUGUAACAUAAUAAAGCACAUGUUC
This is a long non-coding RNA of Equus caballus (horse), 2696 nucleotides long. The record is from Ensembl. Lineage: Eukaryota; Metazoa; Chordata; Mammalia; Perissodactyla; Equidae.